Molecule: ribosomal RNA, 403 nt
Filed under: Pontohedyle verrucosa
Lineage: Eukaryota; Metazoa; Mollusca; Gastropoda; Acochlidiacea; Microhedylidae
Description: partial 16S ribosomal RNA
Rfam family: Bacterial large subunit ribosomal RNA
Source: RNAcentral
AGCCUAAUGAAAUCAUCUUAGGUGACUUCUGCCCGUUGCAAAUGUGAAAGGCCGCAGUACCUUGACUGUGCUAAGGUAGCGAAAUCAGUUGACUUUUAAAUGGAGCCCAGAAUGAAAGGAACAACGGGGGAUUGCUGUUUCUUUUUAUAAUAAAACUUUAUUAAAAGGUGAAAAUUCCUUUAAUUAGAUGAAAGACGAGAAGACCCUGGGAUUUUUAGAUGCUUUUUGUUGGGGCAACAACAAAUGCUCGUUUGUAGUUAAACUCCUUGCUAAUAAGGAACGAGAAAAAUACCCCAGGGAUAACAGCAUAAUUAAAUAUUAGCUUAUGACCUCGAUGUUGGACUAGGACUUUUUUGGUUAGAAGCCUAAAAAAGUUGUUCUGUUCGAACCUUAUAUCCUACAU